CCCUUAGAUGUUCUGGGCUGCACGCGUGCUACACUGAUAUUGCCAAUAUGUCAUUCUUAUCCGAAAUGGAUUGGGUAAUCAAGUAAUGAAAUUUCAUGCUUGGAAUCGGUAAUUGCAAUUUUAUCGUGAACGAGGAAUUCCUAGUAAGCACUAGUCAUCAGCUAAUGUUGAUUAUGUCCCUGCCCUUUGUACACACCGCCCGUCGCUACUACUGAUUGGGUGUUCAAGUGAGAUGCUUAGACCCUUGUUGCAUGGUUCAUUAUUGUGCUCCGAAAGGAAACAGUUUCAAGCUUGAGUGUCUAGAGGAAGUAAAAGUCGUAACA
Molecule: ribosomal RNA, 323 nt
Filed under: uncultured eukaryote
Lineage: Eukaryota
Description: partial 18S ribosomal RNA
Rfam family: Eukaryotic small subunit ribosomal RNA
Source: RNAcentral